RNAcentral lists this long non-coding RNA (346 nucleotides) under Anas platyrhynchos platyrhynchos (common mallard). Its description in RNAcentral is "lncRNA (ENSAPLG00000026311.1)". The record is from RNAcentral. Lineage: Eukaryota; Metazoa; Chordata; Aves; Anseriformes; Anatidae.
CACGUACAAGCUGUGCCUCAAGCUGAGCUCCUCUGGCCCCAUCAGGUCCUGUCUGCAGGGAGGGAGCUGAGGCCAAGAAAUAUUCAGACAAAUGAGGCUGUCCAUUUUAAGGAUUGGAAGGAAGUCUGAAGUCCCUCUGGACCCGCAACCUCACAUGUUUUAAGCUCCCCUGUGCCUCUUGUGUCCUCACAGCUAUCUCCAGGUUCCUGACGGUCCCUGAGAAAAGGAGGAUGGUGAUGCUGGGCAGGUGGCAAGGGAAAGAAAAAAGCUAAUUUGGCAUUAUGGUCCAGGAGCCAAUACUGUAUUAAUACUAUGUGAAUAAACUGAGCUUCUAAAUAUUACUUCA